RNAcentral lists this ribosomal RNA (1371 nucleotides) under uncultured bacterium. RNAcentral describes it as "bacterial SSU rRNA". It matches the Rfam family "Bacterial small subunit ribosomal RNA", at positions 28 to 1381 of the family's 1533-position model. The record is from RNAcentral.
GAUGAACGCUGGCGGCGUGCCUAAUACAUGCAAGUCGAGCGAACGGACGAGAAGCUUGCUUCUCUGAUGUUAGCGGCGGACGGGUGAGUAACACGUGGAUAACCUACCUAUAAGACUGGGAUAACUUCGGGAAACCGGAGCUAAUACCGGAUAAUAUUUUGAACCGCAUGGUUCAAAAGUGAAAGACGGUCUUGCUGUCACUUAUAGAUGGAUCCGCGCUGCAUUAGCUAGUUGGUAAGGUAACGGCUUACCAAGGCAACGAUGCAUAGCCGACCUGAGAGGGUGAUCGGCCACACUGGAACUGAGACACGGUCCAGACUCCUACGGGAGGCAGCAGUAGGGAAUCUUCCGCAAUGGGCGAAAGCCUGACGGAGCAACGCCGCGUGAGUGAUGAAGGUCUUCGGAUCGUAAAACUCUGUUAUUAGGGAAGAACAUAUGUGUAAGUAACUGUGCACAUCUUGACGGUACCUAAUCAGAAAGCCACGGCUAACUACGUGCCAGCAGCCGCGGUAAUACGUAGGUGGCAAGCGUUAUCCGGAAUUAUUGGGCGUAAAGCGCGCGUANGCGGUUUUUUAGUCUGAUGUGAAAGCCCACGGCUCAACCGUGGAGGGUCAUUGGAAACUGGAAAACUUGAGUGCAGAAGAGGAAAGUGGAAUUCCAUGUGUAGCGGUGAAAUGCGCAGAGAUAUGGAGGAACACCAGUGGCGAAGGCGACUUUCUGGUCUGUAACUGACGCUGAUGUGCGAAAGCGUGGGGAUCAAACAGGAUUAGAUACCCUGGUAGUCCACGCCGUAAACGAUGAGUGCUAAGUGUUAGGGGGUUUCCGCCCCUUAGUGCUGCAGCUAACGCAUUAAGCACUCCGCCUGGGGAGUACGACCGCAAGGUUGAAACUCAAAGGAAUUGACGGGGACCCGCACAAGCGGUGGAGCAUGUGGUUUAAUUCGAAGCAACGCGAAGAACCUUACCAAAUCUUGACAUCCUUUGACAACUCUAGAGAUAGAGCCUUCCCCUUCGGGGGACAAAGUGACAGGUGGUGCAUGGUUGUCGUCAGCUCGUGUCGUGAGAUGUUGGGUUAAGUCCCGCAACGAGCGCAACCCUUAAGCUUAGUUGCCAUCAUUAAGUUGGGCACUCUAAGUUGACUGCCGGUGACAAACCGGAGGAAGGUGGGGAUGACGUCAAAUCAUCAUGCCCCUUAUGAUUUGGGCUACACACGUGCUACAAUGGACAAUACAAAGGGCAGCGAAACCGCGAGGUCAAGCAAAUCCCAUAAAGUUGUUCUCAGUUCGGAUUGUAGUCUGCAACUCGACUACAUGAAGCUGGAAUCGCUAGUAAUCGUAGAUCAGCAUGCUACGGUGAAUACGUUCCCGGGUCU